AUCAACGCUGGCGGCGUGCCUAACACAUGCAAGUCGAACGAGAAAGAGGGGCAACCCUGAGUAAGUGGCGACCGGGUGAGUAACACGUGACUAACCUACCUUUCAGGUGGGGAAUAACCUACGGGAAACCGGGGCUAAUACCGCAUAACAUCCUGUGGUUGAGAUACCGUUGGAUACAAAGGAGCAAUUCGCUGAUAGGAGGGGGUCGCGGCAGAUUAGCUAGUUGGGCGGGGUAAUGGCCCACCAAGGCAUUGAUCUGUAGCCGGCCUGAGAGGGCGCACGGCCACACUGGAACUGAAAC
RNAcentral lists this ribosomal RNA (301 nucleotides) under uncultured bacterium. RNAcentral's name for it is "bacterial SSU rRNA". It matches the Rfam family "Bacterial small subunit ribosomal RNA", at positions 32 to 325 of the family's 1533-position model. The record is from RNAcentral.